This 253-nucleotide ribosomal RNA is filed under the name uncultured bacterium. Its description in RNAcentral is "partial 16S ribosomal RNA". It matches the Rfam family "Bacterial small subunit ribosomal RNA", at positions 524 to 776 of the family's 1533-position model. The record is from RNAcentral.
UACGUAGGGGGCAAGCGUUGUCCGGAAUCAUUGGGCGUAAAGAGCGUGUAGGCGGCCAGAUAAGUCCGCUGUGAAAUCUCGAGGCUCAACUUCGAGCUGUCGGUGGAAACUGUCUGGCUAGAGUCCGGAAGAGGAGAAUGGAAUUCCUGGUGUAGCGGUGAAAUACGCAGAUAUCAGGAAGAACACCCGUGGCGAAGGCGGUUCUCUGGGACGGUACUGACGCUGAGACGCGAAAGCGUGGGGAGCGAACAGG